GAUUAAUGAGAGUAAUUGGAGAGAUAUUGACAUAUAGUUAACUUGGUAGUGGUAGGCAGGGUGUUAACAUGGUAGGCAGGGUGUUAAUGCGGUAAGCAGGAUAUUAAUGUGGUAGACAGGGUAUUAACGUGGUAGGGGUAGGCAGGUUAUUAACGUGGUAGGGGUAGGCAGGGUAUUAACGUGGUAGGGGUAGGCAGGGUAUUAACGUGGUAGGGGUAGGCAGGGUAUUAACGUGGUAUGGUUAGGCAGGGCAUUAACAUGGUAGGGUAGGCAGGGUACUAAUGUGGUAGGCAGGGUAUUAACAUGGUAGGGGAAGGCAGGGUAUUAAUGUGGUAGAUAGGGUAUUAACAUGGUAGGGGUAGGCAGGGUAUUAAUGUGGUAGGGGUGGGCAGGUUAUUAACGUGGUAGGGGUAGGCAGGGUAUUAAUGUGGUAGGGGUAGGCAGGGUAUUAAUGUGGUAGGGGUAGGCAGGGUAUUCAUAUGGUAGGUGUAGGCAGGGUAUUAAUGUGGUAGAGGUAGGCAGGUUAUUAAUGUGGUAGGGGUAGGCAGGUUAUUAAUGUGGUAGGGGUAGGCAGGUUAUUAAUGUGGUAGGGAUAGGCAGGUUAAUGUGGUAGACAGGGUAUUAAUAUGGUAGGCAGGGUAUUAACAUGGUAUUGGUAGGCAGGGUAUUAAUGUGGUAGGAGUAGGCAGGGUAUUAAUGUGGUAGGGGUAGGCAUGGUAUUAAUAUAGUAGGGGUAGGCAGGGUAUUAAUGUGGUAGGGGUAGGCAGGGAAUUAACAUGGUAGGGGUAGGCAGGGAAUUAAUGUGGUAGGGGUAGGCAGGGUAUUAAUAUGGUAGGCAGGGUGUUAAUGUGGUAGGCAUGGUAUUAAUAUAGUAGGGGUAGGCAGGGUAUUAAUGUGGUAGGGGUAGGCAUGGUAUUAACGUGGUAGGCAGGGUAUUAACAUGGUAGGGGUCGGGAGGGUAUUAAUGUGGUAGGCAGGGUAUUAAUGUGGUAGGGGUAGGCAGGGUA
Oncorhynchus tshawytscha (Chinook salmon) is the source of this 1007-nucleotide long non-coding RNA. Lineage: Eukaryota; Metazoa; Chordata; Actinopteri; Salmoniformes; Salmonidae. The record is from Ensembl.